GAUGGGCAUGCGGCGCAUUAGCUAGUCGGCGGGGUAACGGCCCACCGAGGCGACGAUGCGUAGGGGUUCUGAGAGGAAGGUCCCCCACACUGGUACUGAGACACGGACCAGACUCCUACGGGAGGCAGCAGUGAGGAAUAUUGGUCAAUGGGCGCGAGCCUGAACCAGCCAAGUCGCGUGAGGGAUGGCGGUCCUACGGAUUGUAAACCUCUUUUGCCGGGGAGCAAGCGUGCGUUCGUGAACGCGCGUCGAGAGUACCCGGAGAAAAAGCAUCGGCUAACUCCGUGCCAGCAGCCGCGGUAAUACGGAGGAUGCGAGCGUUAUCCGGAUUUAUUGGGUUUAAAGGGUGCGUAGGCGGGAUGCCAAGUCAGCGGUAAAAAUGCGGUGCUCAACGCCGUCGAGCCGUUGAAACUGGCGUUCUUGAGUGGGCGAGAAGUAUGCGGAAUGCGUGGUGUAGCGGUGAAAUGCAUAGAUAUCACGCAGAACUCCGAUUGCGAAGGCAGCAUACCGGCGCCCUACUGACGCUGAGGCACGAAAGCGUGGGUAUCGAACAGGAUUAGAUACCCUGGUAGUCCACGCAGUAAACGAUGAAUGCUAACUGUCCGGUGCGAGUGAGCGCUGG
RNAcentral lists this ribosomal RNA (622 nucleotides) under uncultured bacterium. RNAcentral's name for it is "bacterial SSU rRNA". It matches the Rfam family "Bacterial small subunit ribosomal RNA", at positions 224 to 842 of the family's 1533-position model. The record is from RNAcentral.